GACGGAGGGGGCAAGCGUUGUCCGGAAUCACUGGGCGUAAAGCGCACGUAGGCGGGACGGUGCGUCGGUGCUGAAAGCGCCAGGCUUAACCUGGCGAGGCGUGCCGAUACGACCGACCUCGAGGCAGACAGAGGGUGGCGGAAUUCCGGGUGUAGUGGUGAAAUGCGUAGAGAUCCGGAGGAACGCCGGUGGCGAAGGCGGCGUUCUGGACUGCAACUGACACUGAAGAACGAAAGCCAGGGGAGCAAACGGG
RNAcentral lists this ribosomal RNA (253 nucleotides) under uncultured bacterium. RNAcentral describes it as "partial 16S ribosomal RNA". It matches the Rfam family "Bacterial small subunit ribosomal RNA", at positions 524 to 776 of the family's 1533-position model. The record is from RNAcentral.